RNAcentral lists this ribosomal RNA (397 nucleotides) under uncultured bacterium. RNAcentral describes it as "partial 16S ribosomal RNA". It matches the Rfam family "Bacterial small subunit ribosomal RNA", at positions 523 to 918 of the family's 1533-position model. The record is from RNAcentral.
AUACGUAGGGGGCGAGCGUUGUCCGGAAUGACUGGGCGUAAAGGGCGUGUAGGCGGCCGAUUAAGUCUGGAGUGAAAGUCCCGCUUUCAAGGUGGGAAUUGCUUUGGAGACUGGUUGGCUUGAGUGCGGAAGAGGUAAGUGGAAUUCCCAGUGUAGCGGUGAAAUGCGUAGAGAUUGGGAGGAACACCAGUGGCGAAGGCGAGUUACUGGGCCGUAACUGACGCUGAGGCGCGAAAGCGUGGGGAGCGAACAGGAUUAGAUACCCUGGUAGUCCACGCUGUAAACGAUGAAUGCUAGUUGUAGGGGGUAUCGACCCCUCCUGUGCCGGAGUAAACGCAAUAAGCAUUCCGCCUGGGGAGUACGGCCGCAAGGUUGAGACUCAAAGGAAUUGACGGGG